AUGCCCUUCUCCGGCGACCUGACAGAGCGCAACCGCCAGUUGCUGCUAGAGCAGCAGAAUUCCUCCGCCAUAAAGAUCCAAAGAUGCUUUAGAGGGAAGAAGGCUAUACAAUCAAAACAUUCUGAAGCUCGAGAAAACUUCUGCUCUACUUUUGAAGGUUUCUUCCAGAAUUUAGAUAGGAAAAGCUAUGUUGCUUCGGAUUUUUUGGGUCAAUUCCUGUUAUUUUUUGAUGCAAAGGAGGACAAAGAUAUUGAUAUACUAUGUCAAGUCUGUGACCUGCUUCUACAAUAUGCCAAACGUGAUGGAGAUGUUGCAAGUCUCUUUGCUGGUGCAGAUUACUCAGUGGAACAUGUUGUAGUUCACAACGUAAAAAAGCUUGCACUCAUCUGUGUGCGUGUUGUUCAUCAAAAAAGGUUAGUUCAAUUAUUGAAAGCUGUUGUUUAG
Molecule: ribosomal RNA, 444 nt
Filed under: Triticum aestivum (bread wheat)
Lineage: Eukaryota; Viridiplantae; Streptophyta; Magnoliopsida; Poales; Poaceae
Description: partial small subunit ribosomal RNA
Source: RNAcentral